AUGGAGCCGACCUUGAAAUACCACCCUUUAAUGUUUGAUGUUCUAACGUUGACCCGUGAUCCGGGUUGCGGACAGUGUCUGGUGGGUAGUUUGACUGGGGCGGUCUCCUCCUAAAGAGUAACGGAGGAGCACGAAGGUUGGCUAAUCCUGGUCGGACAUCAGGAGGUUAGUGCAAUGGCAUAAGCCAGCUUGACUGCGAGCGUGACGGCGCGAGCAGGUGCGAAAGCAGGUCAUAGUGAUCCGGUGGUUCUGAAUGGAAGGGCCAUCGCUCAACGGAUAAAAGGUACUCCGGGGAUAACAGGCUGAUACCGCCCAAGAGUUCAUAUCGACGGCGGUGUUUGGCACCUCGAUGUCGGCUCAUCACAUCCUGGGGCUGAAGUAGGUCCCAAGGGUAUGGCUGUUCGCCAUUUAAAGUGGUACGCGAGCUGGGUUUAGAACGUCGUGAGACAGUUCGGUCCCUAUCUGCCGUGGGCGCUGGAGAACUGAGGGGGGCUGCUCCUAGUACGAGAGGACCGGAGUGGACGCAUCACUGGUGUUCGGGUUGUCAUGCCAAUGGCACUGCCCGGUAGCUAAAUGCGGAAGAGAUAAGUGC
Molecule: ribosomal RNA, 592 nt
Filed under: Escherichia coli
Lineage: Bacteria; Pseudomonadati; Pseudomonadota; Gammaproteobacteria; Enterobacterales; Enterobacteriaceae
Description: partial 23S ribosomal RNA
Rfam family: Bacterial large subunit ribosomal RNA
Source: RNAcentral